RNAcentral lists this ribosomal RNA (274 nucleotides) under uncultured bacterium. RNAcentral describes it as "partial 16S ribosomal RNA". It matches the Rfam family "Bacterial small subunit ribosomal RNA", at positions 523 to 796 of the family's 1533-position model. The record is from RNAcentral.
AUACGGAGGGUGCAAGCGUUAUCCGGAUUUAUUAGGUUUAAAGGGUGUGUAGGCGGGACUCUAAGUCAGUGGUGAAAUCUUCCGGCUCAACCGGAAAACUGCCAUUGAUACUGGUGUCCUUGAGUAUAGUUGAGGUAGGCGGAAUGUGUAAUGUAGCGGUGAAAUGCUUAGAUAUUACACAGAACACCGAUUGCGAAGGCAGCUUACUAAGCUAUUACUGACGCUGAUGCACGAAAGCGUGGGUAGCGAACAGGAUUAGAAACCCCGGUAGUCC